CCUACGGGAGGCAGCAGUGGGGAAUCUUGCGCAAUGGGCGAAAGCCUGACGCAGCAACGCCGCGUGCGGGAAGAAGGCUUUCGGGCUGUAAACCGCUUUCAGCAGGAACGAAAAUGACGGUACCUGCAGAAGAAGGAGCGGCCAACUAUGUGCCAGCAGCCGCGGUGAUACAUAGGCUUCAAGCGUUGUCCGGAUUUAUUGGGCGUAAAGAGUUCGUAGGCGGUCAAGUAAGUCGGGUGUGAAAAUUCUGGGCUCAACCCAGAGACGCCACCCGAUACUGCUUAACUUGAGUUCGAUAGGGGAGUGGGGAAUUCCUAGUGUAGCGGUGAAAUGCGCAGAUAUUAGGAGGAACACCGGUGGCGAAGGCGCCACUCUGGAUCGAUACUGACGCUGAGGAACGAAAGCAUGGGUAGCAAACAGGAUUAGAUACCCUGGUAGUCCAUGCCGUAAACGGUGGGCACUAGGUGUGGGUUUCUAUUAACGAAAUCCGCGCCGUCGCUAACGCAUUAAGUGCCCCGCCUGGGGGAGGUACGGUCGCGAGACUAAACUACAAUAGAAUUAGACGGCGUGAGACGUGCCGAACGGACGACGACGAGGGAGGUAGG
This 605-nucleotide ribosomal RNA is filed under the name uncultured bacterium. RNAcentral's name for it is "bacterial SSU rRNA". It matches the Rfam family "Bacterial small subunit ribosomal RNA", at positions 338 to 1415 of the family's 1533-position model. The record is from RNAcentral.